This 1035-nucleotide long non-coding RNA is filed under the name Mus spicilegus (steppe mouse). RNAcentral describes it as "lncRNA (ENSMSIG00000005607.1)". The record is from RNAcentral. Lineage: Eukaryota; Metazoa; Chordata; Mammalia; Rodentia; Muridae.
CACUGAGCUGGGCCAACAGCGGCCUGUGGGUAGAGCUAGGCUUCCUAGACAGGCCUUCACCUCUGGUCACACUCCCUUUCCAGGUCUGGUAAGAGAGCAGGUCAGCCCAUAUCUGCGCCAGCCCCUUCUCUUGCCGUGGUAAGGUAGACCACACUCAUGGACACCUUCACUCAAACCGUGCCUCAGUGGAACCCGUUUUCACCACGUGCCUCACCCAUGACAGAGUGGAAGUCAUACCCCCAGACUGGAAGCCCCACAAUAAUAGAGAUCCCAGAAUUAGAAUCCUGAAGACAGAUGGAAGCCUUGGGAAUCAAAUCCCUGGAAGGAGGAAAGACGAAGACCCACGAACCCCCUGGAAGUCAGAAAUCCACAUGGAGGGUACAAGCUCCUGACUCAGUCCAGACCCCUUCCCCCCCGCCUGGGGUCAGGGCUGGACAGGGAGGAGAAGCGAGCUCCUUGCAAGACGAGUUGGGGACAAGAUAGCUAGUGACCCUGGCCUUGGCUGACCCGAAAGAGGCCUGGAGACAUCUGUCCUCAAAGGAUUGUCCACUUCCGGUGACUCCCUGCUGCUGAUAAUAGGGCCCAUGUUUCCCAGAAGGCCCGAGGUUAUCCCAAGACUGCUUCUCUCCCUUCACCUCCCAUGGCUUCAUUCCUGAAGAGCCUGUGAUCACUUAGGGUCAGAAAUAGACGGGUAAGGAAGGACCAACUCCCCCACAAACUCAACUAUGGUGACUAGGAAGACCUAGACAAUUUAAAAAUCUGGAGACUUACUGCCACAGACACCCAGGACCAGGGAAUAGGCAGAGGCAGAAGAGGAAUUCCAAGACAGAAAAUUGAGUUAAAUUCAGUCCAACAGACAUUUAUUAGCGCCUACUGUGUGCCAGGCCCAGAGGGAACAUUGUGUUCAAAAGCGCAGACGCCUCCCAGGCUUUUGGCAUGGGUGACUGGGAGACGAUGGUGCCAUUCACAAAGCCUUGACAUGUUCGGCCGAAGGGUCUGUGGGAUGAUGGGUAGGAAGGGACAAGUCUAGGGAGG